Molecule: ribosomal RNA, 492 nt
Filed under: uncultured bacterium
Lineage: Bacteria
Description: partial 16S ribosomal RNA
Rfam family: Bacterial small subunit ribosomal RNA
Source: RNAcentral
AGUGAACGCUGGCGGUAGGCCUAACACAUGCAAGUCGAACGGCAGCACAGUAAGAGCUUGCUCUUACGGGUGGCGAGUGGCGGACGGGUGAGGAAUACAUCGGAAUCUACUUUUUCGUGGGGGAUAACGUAGGGAAACUUACGCUAAUACCGCAUACGACCUACGGGUGAAAGCAGGGGAUCUUCGGACCUUGCGCGAUUGAAUGAGCCGAUGUCGGAUUAGCUAGUUGGCGGGGUAAAGGCCCACCAAGGCGACGAUCCGUAGCUGGUCUGAGAGGAUGAUCAGCCACACUGGAAGUGAGACACGGUCCAGACUCCUACGGGAGGCAGCAGUGGGGAAUAUUGGACAAUGGGCGCAAGCCUGAUCCAGCCAUACCGCGUGGGUGAAGAAGGCCUUCGGGUUGUAAAGCCCUUUUGUUGGGAAAGAAAAGCAGCAGGUUAAUACCCCGCUGUGCUGACGGUACCCAAAGAAUAAGCACGGGCUAACUUCGUG